Molecule: long non-coding RNA, 348 nt
Filed under: Medicago truncatula (barrel medic)
Lineage: Eukaryota; Viridiplantae; Streptophyta; Magnoliopsida; Fabales; Fabaceae
Description: long non-coding RNA (MTRU_LNC002625)
Source: RNAcentral
ACGAAGAAGAUGAAAACAACAAGGGAUUUUAAUUUCAAAUUUUGUAACUUUAUGAUUUUUAAUUUCGUCCUUCUGUAACUUUUCGUUUUUGGUUUUGGUCCCUGUAAUAUAGUCAGGGAUCUUCUGGAAGGCCACCUAAAUUUCAUAUUUAGGUGUUUUUAAUUUCGUCCCUCUGUACCUUUUCGUUUUUGGUUUUGGUCCCUGUAAUAUAGUCAGGGAUCAUCUGUCAGUCCACAUAAGCGUGUUUGGCCAAGUCAGCACCUGCCACGUCACUCACCGUUAGCCAGCAAGGCGUUUUUGUUACAGAGUUUGACGGGAGGGACGAAAAGCAAAAAGUUAUUAACUUAC